CGCGUGAGUGAAGAAGGUUUUCGGAUCGUAAAGCUCUGUUGUAAGUCAAGAACGAGUGUGAGAGUGGAAAGUUCACACUGUGACGGUAGCUUACCAGAAAGGGACGGCUAACUACGUGCCAGCAGCCGCGGUAAUACGUAGGUCCCGAGCGUUGUCCGGAUUUAUUGGGCGUAAAGCGAGCGCAGGCGGUUUGAUAAGUCUGAAGUUAAAGGCUGUGGCUCAACCAUAGUUCGCUUUGGAAACCGUCAAACUUGAGUGCAGAAGGGGAGAGUGGAAUUCCAUGUGUAGCGGUGAAAUGCGUAGAUAUAUGGAGGAACACCGGUGGCGAAAGCGGCUCUCUGGUCUGUAACUGACGCUGAGGCUCGAAAGCGUGGGGAGCGAACAGGAUUAGAUACCCUGGUAGUCCACGCCGUAAACGAUGAGUGCUAGGUGUUGGAUCCUUCCGGGAUUCAGUGCCGCAACUAAC
Molecule: ribosomal RNA, 466 nt
Filed under: Streptococcus salivarius
Lineage: Bacteria; Bacillati; Bacillota; Bacilli; Lactobacillales; Streptococcaceae
Description: bacterial SSU rRNA
Rfam family: Bacterial small subunit ribosomal RNA
Source: RNAcentral